CAUCGCCUCUUGCAAAGCUAAAGAAUAAGAGGUCCCGCCUGCCCUGUGACUAUUAGUUUAACGGCCGCGGUAUUUUGACCGUGCAAAGGUAGCGCAAUCACUUGUCUUUUAAAUGAAGACCUGUAUGAAUGGCACAACGAGGGCUUAACUGUCUCCUCUUUCAAGUCAAUGAAAUUGAUCUCCCCGUGCAGAAGCGGGGAUAUAAACAUAAGACGAGAAGACCCUAUGGAGCUUUAGACACCAAAGAAGAUCCUGUCAAGUAACCCCUGAUAAGGGCCUAAACUAAUGGAAUCCUUCCCUAAUGUCUUUGGUUGGGGCGACCGCGGGGAAACAAAAAACCCCCACGUGGAAAGGGAGCACCCCCUCCUACAACUAAGAGCCGCAGCUCUAAUUAACAGAAUAUCUGACCAAUAAGAUCCGGCAAUGCCGAUCAACGGACCGAGUUACCCUAGGGAUAACAGCGCAAUCCCCUUUUAGAGCCCAUAUCGACAAGGGGGUUUACGACCUCGAUGUUGGAUCAGGACAUCCUAAUGGUGCAGCCGCUAUUAAGGGUCCGUUUGUUCAACGGUUAAAGUCCUACGUGA
This 584-nucleotide ribosomal RNA is filed under the name Sebastes mentella (deepwater redfish). RNAcentral's name for it is "partial 16S ribosomal RNA". It matches the Rfam family "Bacterial large subunit ribosomal RNA", at positions 1814 to 2603 of the family's 2925-position model. Lineage: Eukaryota; Metazoa; Chordata; Actinopteri; Perciformes; Sebastidae. The record is from RNAcentral.